GACGAACGCUGGCGGCGUGCUUAACACAUGCAAGUCGAACGGAAAGGCCCUGCUUGCAGGGUACUCGAGUGGCGAACGGGUGAGUAACACGUGGGUGAUCUGCCCUGCACUUCGGGAUAAGCCUGGGAAACUGGGUCUAAUACCGGAUAGGAGCCAUUUUUAGUGUGAUGGUUUGAAAGUUUUUUCGGUGUAGGAUGAGCUCGCGGCCUAUCAGCUUGUUGGUGGGGUAAUGGCCUACCAAGGCGGCGACGGGUAGCCGGCCUGAGAGGGUGGACGGCCACAUUGGGACUGAGAUACGGCCCAGACUCCUACGGGAGGCAGCAGUGGGGAAUAUUGCACAAUGGGCGCAAGCCUGAUGCAGCGACGCCGCGUGGGGGAUGACGGCCUUCGGGUUGUAAACUCCUUUCGCUAGGGACGAAGCUUUUUGUGACGGUACCUAGAUAAGAAGCACCGGCUAACUACGUG
This 465-nucleotide ribosomal RNA is filed under the name uncultured bacterium. RNAcentral's name for it is "partial 16S ribosomal RNA". It matches the Rfam family "Bacterial small subunit ribosomal RNA", at positions 28 to 507 of the family's 1533-position model. The record is from RNAcentral.